UUUGACCUCGGAUCAGGUAGGGAUACCCGCUGAACU
This 36-nucleotide ribosomal RNA is filed under the name Pseudocamarosporium brabeji. RNAcentral's name for it is "partial 28S ribosomal RNA". The record is from RNAcentral. RNAcentral also lists the same sequence under 1 other name. Lineage: Eukaryota; Fungi; Ascomycota; Dothideomycetes; Pleosporales; Didymosphaeriaceae.